RNAcentral lists this unclassified non-coding RNA (374 nucleotides) under uncultured bacterium. RNAcentral describes it as "contains 16S-23S intergenic spacer region". The record is from RNAcentral.
UCCGGUUUGUCACCGGCAGUCUCAUUAGAGUGCCCUUUCGUAGCAACUAAUGACAAGGGUUGCGCUCGUUGCGGGACUUAACCCAACAUCUCACGACACGAGCUGACGACAGCCAUGCAGCACCUGUGUGCCGGUUCCCUUUCGGGCACUCCCUGGUUUCCCAAGGAUUCCGACCAUGUCAAGGGUAGGUAAGGUUUUUCGCGUUGCAUCGAAUUAAUCCACAUCAUCCACCGCUUGUGCGGGUCCCCGUCAAUUCCUUUGAGUUUUAGCCUUGCGGCCGUAGUCCCCAGGCGGAGCACUUAUCGCGUUAGCUGCGGCACCGAGGGGGUCGAUACCCCCGACACCUAGUGCUCAUCGUUUACGGCGUGGACUAC